GGCUGGUUAGCUAAGUUGUGACAGCGUCGCGCUAGAAACGCGCAUGUCGUGGGUUCGAUCUCAUACUGGUGU
Non-coding RNA from Biomphalaria glabrata, 72 nucleotides. The record is from Rfam. NCBI's taxonomy places the organism in Eukaryota, Metazoa, Mollusca, Gastropoda, Planorbidae.